This 27-nucleotide non-coding RNA is filed under the name Mus musculus (house mouse). Lineage: Eukaryota; Metazoa; Chordata; Mammalia; Rodentia; Muridae. The record is from RNAcentral.
UGGGAUUCCUCAGUAGCAAGUGCUCAG